Molecule: ribosomal RNA, 253 nt
Filed under: uncultured bacterium
Lineage: Bacteria
Description: partial 16S ribosomal RNA
Rfam family: Bacterial small subunit ribosomal RNA
Source: RNAcentral
AACGUAGGAGACGAACGUUAUCCGGAGUUACUGGGCGUAAAGGGCGUGUAGGCGGCUUGGUAGGUCCGCUGUGAAAACUCGAGGCUCAACCUCGAGAUGUCGGCGGAAACCACUUGGCUAGAGUCCGGAAGAGGAGAGUGGAAUUCCUGGUGUAGCGGUGAAAUGCGCAGAUAUCAGGAAGAACACCAAUGGCGAAAGCAGCUUUCUGGGACGGUACUGACGCUGAGACGCGAAAGCGUGGGGAGCGAACAGG